RNAcentral lists this microRNA precursor (101 nucleotides) under Paramuricea clavata. Lineage: Eukaryota; Metazoa; Cnidaria; Anthozoa; Malacalcyonacea; Plexauridae. The record is from RNAcentral.
CACUUUAAGACCUGACCAGGAAUGACUGUCAAAAAUGCAGCACAUUUUCCACAUUGCAUUUUUCACAGUCACUCCUGGUCAGGUCUUAAAGUGUAUAUAUA